AUGGUUUGGCCUUUUGGCCAAGAUCUAGUGUAGUAUUUGUUUCAAUCAUUUUAGUAGCUGAUAUGUUUUUUAUCUGUGAAUUAUGUAUUAAAUUGAUUUUUGUAAGCGGGAGAUGGAAUAGGGGCUCGUUCUGUCCACUCCAAUCAUCAACUUGGUAUUGCAUUUCCAGGAAUGGUGUACCCUCC
This is a small nuclear RNA of Protopterus annectens (West African lungfish), 185 nucleotides long. RefSeq annotates it as U2 spliceosomal RNA. Lineage: Eukaryota; Metazoa; Chordata; Ceratodontiformes; Protopteridae. The record is from RefSeq and is a predicted model, not a curated record. The transcript has a single exon.